RNAcentral lists this ribosomal RNA (256 nucleotides) under uncultured bacterium. RNAcentral describes it as "partial 16S ribosomal RNA". It matches the Rfam family "Bacterial small subunit ribosomal RNA", at positions 524 to 776 of the family's 1533-position model. The record is from RNAcentral.
UACGAGGGGGGCAAGCGUUGUUCGGAAUUAUUGGGCGUAAAGGGCGCGUAGGCGGUGCGGUAAGUCACCUGUGAAAACUCUGGGCUCAACUCAGAGCCUGCAGGCGAAACUGCCGUGCUUGAGUGUGGGAGAGGUGCGUGGAAUUCCCGGUGUAGCGGUGAAAUGCGUAGAUAUCGGGGAGGAACACCUGUGGCGAAGGCGGGAUCUCUGGGCCAUUACUGGACGCUGAGGAGCGAAAGCGUGGGGAGCGAACAGG